AGUUGUUAUGUGAGUAGAAAUCAAAAUCAAGUCUACACAUUCCUGGAAGCGGACGUCUUGUAGGGGUCAGCAUAGAAAACCAAAACAAAAUAAAUUGUACCGCAGCCGAAAAUACAAAUUGCCCUUAAAUUCGUUCAGGCCCAGUGUAAAAGCUAGAGUAGUAAUUACAAUCGGUAAUGCAGAACUAUUCGCACCGCUUCAAUACUCCCAGUUAUCUAACUAUCUCGCUCUCGCACACAUCCGCAAGGCACGCAGACAGAAUAGAAUAGAGACAGAGCCGGGAAAAGUCCCGUUUCUAGCGGUUCGCGCAAAUUCCAGUGCACAUCGACUGUACAAUGCGUAGAUCAGCUCGUUCAUUUGGUUUUGCAAUCUCGAAGUAUUUAAACGUGCGAAAAGUCAUCAUCUAGUGCAAAGAAGUAAAGCCACGUGGACUUUCUUUAACCACGAGGGUGUUACAUAAAUCCCAGUUUGUGAACAAAACCAGAUAUUGAAGUCAGUGAAAUCAGUCUAUAUUUAGUCGCUUGCUCAGGUCAAGGCCAGAACACGCGCUUGUCGCGGGAGUUAUCGGUGACGGCACAAGCAUGCCUUCACCUCCCCCGAAACCCCCACGGGCAGCGACCUACAUAUGAGACACUCAACCCGGACACACACCGCAGCAAAGUCAUCAACCCACACUGGAUCAGCAGAGUCAGGAUUCCCAAGAAUCCAACCGAAGCACUGGAAGGGGCAUCCGGGUGAAAAGUGCCGACGCAAGGGGUUUCGCAGAACAAAAGAAUUGUACGCUAGGCUAAGAGGAAAAUUUAUUCAAAAAAUAAAAUCAUUCUGUCACCGAACUUCGAACGAGUCACUUUAAAUACUAAAAAUCCUCCUUGGCUUAAAGAUAAAACACAACAGAUCCUCGACCACGACGUAACUGGCGCAGCCGGAAAAGGAACCUAAAGGAGAUCCAGAACAUCCAGAAGAAGGAUAUGAAGAUCACCGGGGUAUUCUUAAAUAUUAUACUGUAAUGCAGGUAAGCAGCCGGCCAAGUGACUUCAAUAAGUGAGUGCAAAUGUAAAAUAAA
Drosophila yakuba is the source of this 1063-nucleotide long non-coding RNA. RefSeq lists it as uncharacterized. The record is from RefSeq and is a predicted model, not a curated record. NCBI's taxonomy places the organism in Eukaryota, Metazoa, Arthropoda, Insecta, Diptera, Drosophilidae. The transcript is spliced from 2 exons.